UAGAGCAAAGGAGACAAUUUUAGAACUUUCCUAGUAUAGAAGGUUUUGGAGAGGUUCCAAAAGGGUUGUGAAGCCUUCCUUAGUUGAUAAAGAUAACCAAUUUGAAUUAGAUAAAAUACAAAUAAUUUACUAUUCAAAAUAGGGUUAAUCCUACUCUUCCACUAUGACAUCCCCAAAAUCUCGGCCAGAAAAGACCGAUUUUCAUUUAUGCUUUUAAAUAUUUUCAGAGUAAAUCCUUUUGAUUUGAAAGAGUUGUGGAAUUUGUUCCCAAAAACAAAACAUGAUAAAACAAUGUUUACCGAAGCAUUUCAUAAAAGAAAUGUAUUUUCAUUAUAAUCAAAACUCGGGGUGUCAUGUUCCGAUACAGACCAAUAAGCAUAAACGAAUACAUUACAAGUCAUAUAACAAAUAUAAACAUAUGCAGACUUGUAAACAAAACAACUUGAUGGUUCAUCCAUCUCAUGCCCUUCCGCCACUACCUGUAAUACAAAGAAAUUGAGUGGGUUAGGCUUGGGAGCCUGGUGAGCAUAUAGGGUUUUCAACCCACAAUAAAUAUCAUAUUUAAUUUUCACCAACCAACAAUAACCCAAUUACCCAUUCCCGUUAUUCUCACUUUAAUGUCCCUAAAACAACUAACAUAAGGGACCUAGUCUAAGAAUAUUUCAUCGGGGCGACAACACAUGCUUCGGGGGUACCUCAGCAAUAUAAGUCAAAUAAGGCAACCAUGAGGGGGAUGGAGUACAGCGAAUGAACACCCAAGUUCAUUAACACCUACAGGUGGCGAACCUGCUAAUGUUUCCACAAGACUAUCUAGAAAAGUAUGUGGUCGUCAUCUAAACUCCGCUAGAUGACUAAAUCAAACAACAACGAGGCCUCUCAUCUGUUUAUUACACACCAACUAUCUACCCAUGUUCUACCCAACAUAUUAGUAGAUAAAAAUAUACAUUUGUAUACAUAGUUUAAAAACCUGUAUAGCAUGCUUUAAUCAACACAUAUAUCACAUAACAGAUGAGGCACACACACACAUAACACAUAUCUCAUAGAGAAAUAAUCAGAUCUAUAAGAUAGAAGAGAGUGAAUACACAUUCACACAUAACACAACCAAAUAUAUACACAUAGCACGUAUUUUAUAUAAAAUACUUCAUAUUAUUGUAUUUGGAAGGAAAUAACUACACACUCACUUGAUCAGAAGAUGAUCGGACAGCACUACGACUUGCAGAAGUAGUAAUCCUCAGCAGAUCUGGAAGAUCUCUUCAAAAAUCGAACUUCUCGCGGGCAGAGCUUCGGCUCGGGAACCACACUUCUCGGGAUCUUCGGGAUCUCGGGACUUUCCUCGGGGCUAGAGUAUGAUACCGGGACUUCGGGAUGGCUUUGGGGGUUUACACGCAGAGCUUCGACACAAAAACGAGAGGAAAUUAGCAUUUGAACCCGGAACCCUCGCAUCCUAUUUAUAGGAGGCUGGAAGCCUCAAUUACGCGGGGCGUAGAGCAGUACGCGGGGCGUACUGCUCCAUGUUCGUAAGCGCAUGCGUCAUCCGAAGCCACUUGCUGCGAUGUCGACACCUUCGGAGUACGCGGGGCGUACUCGAGUACGCGGCGCGUACCUCGGAUCAGAUCNNNNNNNNNNNNNNNNNNNNNNNNNNNNNNNNNNNNNNNNNNNNNNNNNNNNNNNNNNNNNNNNNNNNNNNNNNNNNNNNNNNNNNNNNNNNNNNAAGGUGAGACCAUGCUCUACGACUUUCGUUUAGACUCCGUCGGCUAAUUUUGACUUUAUUUUUAUUAAUUAUUUUUAAUAGGCCGGGAUAGAAACUUUCGUUAUAAAUUCAUAACUUCUUCGUUUGACGUCGUUUCUUGCCUAACUUUUUAUCGCUUCGAUACCAACAAUGAGAUCUUCGAUUCUCAUUUAGAUUGCUUCGGCUAAAAACCCCUCGAUGUCAAAUCGAGUAAAACAGGCUGCAUACCGCUAAGCCGGAACUUCAAUAAAUCAUAACUUCNNNNNNNNNNNNNNNNNNNNNNNNNNNNNNNNNNNNNNNNNNNNNNNNNNNNNNNNNNNNNNNNNNNNNNNNNNNNNNNNNNNNNNNNNNNNNNNNNNNNACAAUAUAUGAGCAGGUAAUUCGUUUACGAGAAAAGUACCUGAAGUGACAUCAGCUUCAUCCUUCGCAACCUCAAGUGUCAUCUGGAAGGCCCUCGCCUUCGGCUUUGGUGGAAUGUUGGGCUUUGCUGCCUCCUUCUUCUUCGGACAGUCUUUCAAAAUAUGUCCCUCUUCAUUACACCCAAAACACAUCCUUUUGUUGUUCGGACAUUCAUUGGCAAAAUGUCCAACCUUUCCACACUUGUAGCAGGUUACAUCCUCGCUACAUUUCCCAAAGUGCUUUUUCUUACACUUAUCACACCACUUCGCUUCGCCUCCUUUUCCUCCAAACUUUUUCGAAUCAGAUUUCGAAAAUUUGCUUUUCUUACCGGAACCAGAUGUUCCCUCAAACUUUCUUUUCUCACCAACCUCAACCUUGUCGGUGGUUCUUCCCUUUAUCAUGUUCUCCACAGACUUGGCAGCCCAGAUAGCUGCCUCUAGAGUAAGUGCCUGACGUACCGGCACCUCGUACUCCCAUGGAAGUCCCUUCGCAUACCGAUCCACCUUUGUCAGCUCGUCUGGAACGAUACGCAAGGCAAACUCCAUCUUAUCGGUGAAGUUAUUGGUGUAUUCAUCAACUGACAUGCUGCCUUUAGUCAAUGUCAGGAACUUGUUCUCCAACUCCAAUAGAUUUUGAGCCGAGCAGAACUUGCGUUUAAACUGCACCAAGAAAUCUGCCCAUGACAAUUGCAGUGGCUCGUUAGGGUUCAACGUCUUCCCUAGAGUGUUCCACCAACGAACGGUUCCACCUCGAAACUGACGCACUGCAUAGAUAGUUUNGCAACUUGCCUCUACAGCCACAUGUCAUAAAGGCUAACUCCAUUUCGGAGAUCCAAUCCAUAACCCCAAUCGGAUCCUCCUUUCCAUUGAAGGUCGAUGGUUUACAAGUCAAAAAGUCCUUGUACUUGCAUCCCAUUCCAUCAUUCCUUCCAUCAUGGUUAUCUUGCCUAACUAUCGGUGGGUUGGCUGGACCAACAGACCCACUGAAGUUUCCACCUUCCGAGUGCCCUUCAUUCAGUUCAGGCUCUUCCACACGAAUCGACAGUUCUUCACGAUUUUGUUGAAGCAACCGUCUAGUUUCAUCCAUCUGACGAUCCAACAUCGUCUGAAUCAUCAAUUGCACACCAGCCAUGGUUAUUGGCUCAGGUGCUGCUGCUACGACAGGUAUUGGCUCAAUCACUGGUGGUUGAUUCCUGUUUUCGUCAGCAUUUCCAACUCCACUUCUUGUUCUCACCAUUUUGAUCUACACCGAAUAAGGUGAAAUUAGAUCCUCAAUCAUGAUAGAUAUUCAAAUCAUCCUUAUCACUCCGAAACGUUUACAUGCUAGUUCUAAUAUCGUAGACGUACGCUUAGAAUCCUACACACAUAAGGUUUCUAGAUCCGGUCGGCAACAGACCAUAGAUCCGAACAAAUAAUAUCAUAUAUGGCAACAUAUAACAUUUAGCACAUAAAGCAUUUUAGGCAACUUUCCUAAAAUAAACUAGUGCUCGUGUCUAAAUCACAACAGACACACAUCUCAAAACUUCACUUAGCAUUCUAAGUUUAAGUCUAGAAAUCCUACAAAUUCCUAGUUCGCUUAAACUAAUGCUCUGAUACCAACUGUGACAUCCCCAAAAUCUCGGCCAGAAAAGACCGAUUUUCAUUUAUGCUUUUAAAUAUUUUCAGAGUAAAUCCUUUUGAUUUGAAAGAGUUGCGGAAUUUGUUCCCAAAAACAAAACAUGAUAAAACAUUGUUUACCGAAGCAUUUCAUAAAAGAAAUGUAUUUUCAUUAUAAUCAAAACUCGGGGUGUCAUGUUCCGAUACAGACCAAUAAGCAUAAACGAAUACAUUACAAGUCAUAUAACAAAUAUAAACAUAUGCAGACUUGUAAACAAAACAACUUGAUGGUUCAUCCAUCUCAUGCCCUUCCGCCACUACCUGUAAUACAAUUUAAAACUGAGUGGGUCAGGCUUGGGAGCCUGGUGAGCAUAUAGGGUUUUCAACCCACAAUAAAUAUCAUAUUUAAUUUUCACCAACCAACAAUAACCCAAUUACCCAUUCCCGUUAUUCUCACUUUAAUGUCCCUAAAACAACUAACAUAAGGGACCUAGUCUAAGAAUAUUUCAUCGGGGCGACAACACAUGCUUCGGGGGUACCUCAACAAUAUAAGUCAAAUAAGGCAACCAUGAGGGGGAUGGAGGACAGCGAAUGAACACCCAAGUUCAUUAACACCUACAGGUGGCGAACCUGCUAAUGUUUCCACAAGACUGUCUAGAAUAGCCAGUGGUCGUCAUCUAAACUCCGCUAGAUGACUCAAUCANGUUUAUUACACACCGACUAUCUACCCAUGUUCUACCCAACAUAUUAGUACAUAAAAAUAUACAUUUGUAUACAUAGUUUAAAAACCUGUAUAGCAUGCUUUAAUCAACACAUAUAUCACAUAACAGAUGAGGCACACACACAUAACACAUAUCUCAUAGAGAAAUAAUCAGAUCUAUAAGAUAGAAGAGAGUGAAUACACAUUCACACAUAACACAACCAAAUGUAUACACAUAGCACGUAUUUUAUAUUUGGAAGAAAAUAACUACACACUCACUUGAUCAGAAGAUGAUCGGACAGCACUACGACUUGCAAAAGUAGUAAUCCUCAGCAGAUCUGGAAGAUCUCUUCAAAAAUCGAACUUCUCGCGAGCAGAGCUUCGGCUCGGGAACCACACUUCUCGGGAUCUUCGGGAUCUCGGGACUUGCCUCGGG
Molecule: long non-coding RNA, 4859 nt
Filed under: Lactuca sativa (garden lettuce)
Lineage: Eukaryota; Viridiplantae; Streptophyta; Magnoliopsida; Asterales; Asteraceae
Description: long non-coding RNA (LSAT_LNC010123)
Source: RNAcentral